GAGUUCACCGAAAGACUCUGCUCCAGCUGAAAAGUAGCGCAGGAAGCCAACUACGUUUUCCUCUCUUCAUCCAAUCGUACGUCUCAGCAGGAUGCCUGCUGCCUGCGAAUCAGGAUAUAGAGUGAUCUGGCACCAUGGAUGUGUGCUCUUUACCAUGAUCACGGACCAACCAUCUACAACUGAAUUCACAGUGAAUAUAUUGGCUUGAGUCCCAGCUGAGAUGUGGACUUUGGACUUUCAAAUUACUGAAGUUUGUAAAGACUGUGGCAUCUGUUGAUUCAUUGGAUAAUAUUGUUCAAUACAAGAUGAACAUGACACUACGGAGACAAGGAGUGGAAUGUUAUUAUUUAAGGUGAUAUACUUGGAUAUCAAGCUGACUAAGCAUGGGAUUUUGAUGUUAAUAUCAAUUGCCAUCCUAAUGAGAUAAAAAAUCACUUUGAAAAUGGGAUUCUGGGCAUGCUUAUGAAGUAUUAUUUUGAUUAGGAUUAUUAAGAAGGAAAUACCCACUUACUCUGUGUAGUUCCAUUACUUGGGCUGCAUUUUAGAUUAUCAAAAGGGGAAAAUAAGCUGAGCUGCUCCUUGACCGUAGAUGCAUAGUAAGUAUCUGCCUUAAGCUUCUCUCAUUUUUACUUCCCCAACAACAUAGACUGUAGCCUUGAAUUAUGAACCAGAAUAAACUCUUUCUCUCCUGA
Molecule: long non-coding RNA, 692 nt
Organism: Onychomys torridus (southern grasshopper mouse)
Lineage: Eukaryota; Metazoa; Chordata; Mammalia; Rodentia; Cricetidae
Exons: 3
Source: RefSeq, a predicted model, not a curated record